CCGUUCGCUGGCAUGCUUGUCGGUGCGCAGCGGCUUUGAUCUGCUGUUGACCGGGUUGCGAAUGCCGGCGGGUAGC
RNAcentral lists this transfer RNA (76 nucleotides) under Stieleria varia. Its description in RNAcentral is "Planctomycetes bacterium Pla52n tRNA-Gln". The record is from RNAcentral. Lineage: Bacteria; Pseudomonadati; Planctomycetota; Planctomycetia; Pirellulales; Pirellulaceae.